UGCAUGUGUUGAUGUUCGUGUGUGGGACAUUGCGUGUGUCUGCUCCUAUAAAUUAAGGACCUUUCUUCAUCUGCCUCAAUCUGGGACCAAGCUGGUGACACAGACGUGAUCUCUCUCCUCUUGCUGAACAUAAACUCUAAGCUGCAGCUAUGGCUCUGGAAGCGGCCAUUUGCCAAAUCGUGGGAAUAUUUGAGAAACAUCAAUGUGAUGGAAAGGUGUGCAAAGAAAAACUCAUGUCGGAGAUGAGUGAAGAAUUCAGAAAAGCAAAGUCAUGUUCUUGCUCGGAAGAGGAGAAGAAACAAGAAUCUGUUAAUUUCGAGGAGUUUAUGGGGUGUGUGGCUAAAAUGGCCAAACAUAUGAAAGAAAACAAAGGAUGUAAAAAGUAACACAAACGUCUGAUACGACACAGAAUGUGACUUUUACUGUCUCUGUACACUGUGAUGCAACAUGCUGUCCUUUCAGCUCUGAAUAAGAAAGAAUAAAACAGUUCACCAUGAUA
Solea solea (common sole) is the source of this 499-nucleotide long non-coding RNA. RefSeq lists it as uncharacterized. The transcript has 3 exons. NCBI's taxonomy places the organism in Eukaryota, Metazoa, Chordata, Actinopteri, Pleuronectiformes, Soleidae. The record is from RefSeq and is a predicted model, not a curated record.